RNAcentral lists this ribosomal RNA (587 nucleotides) under uncultured bacterium. RNAcentral's name for it is "partial 16S ribosomal RNA". It matches the Rfam family "Bacterial small subunit ribosomal RNA", at positions 355 to 1375 of the family's 1533-position model. The record is from RNAcentral.
UGGGGAAUUUUGGACAAUGGGCGAAAGCCUGAUCCAGCAAUGCCGCGUGUGUGAAGAAGGCCUUCGGGUUGUAAAGCACUUUUGUCCGGAAAGAAAUCCUUGGCUCUAAUACAGUCGGGGGAUGACGGUACCGGAAGAAUAAGCACCGGCUAACUACGUGCCAGCAGCCGCGGUAAUACGUAGGGUGCAAGCGUUAAUCGGAAUUACUGGGCGUAAAGCGUGCGCAGGCGGUUUGCUAAGACCGAUGUGAAAUCCCCGGGCUCAACCUGGGAACUGCAUUGGUGACUGGCAGGCUAGAGUAUGGCAGAGGGGGGUAGAAUUCCACGUGUAGCAGUGAAAUGCGUAGAGAUGUGGAGGAAUACCGAUGGCGAAGGCAGCCCCCUGGGCCAAUACUGACGCUCAUGCACGAAAGCGUGGGGAGCAAACAGGAUUAGAUACCCUGGUAGUCCACGCCCUAAAACGAUGUCAACUAGUUGUUGGGGAUUCAUUUCCUUAGUAACGUAGCUAACGCGUGAAGUUGACCGCCUGGGGAGUACGGUCGCAAGAUUAAAACUUAAAUGGAAUUGACGGGGUCAUAGCUGUUUCCU